AUGGCGAAGUAUCGGUGGGGGAGCUCGAUUGACAAGCGUUCCCUCCAUUGGCUCUCUUGGGGCAAACUCGAGGUGCCGAAAGUGAAGGGCGGCAUGGGUUUCCGCAAUAUGCAGAUGUUCAACUUAGCAAUGCUUGGAAAACAUGGUUGGUGCCUUCUUACAAGACCGGAUUCAUUAUGUGCCAGGGUACUGAAGGGCAAAUAUUUUCUUCACACAGAUUUUCUCAAUGCUACUGUUUCGGCUAGAGCUUCGGCAACCUGGAAGGCAAUUGUAGCAGGGCGAGAUGCACUCAAUGUUGGCCUCAUACGUCGAGUUGGUGAUGGCUCAACCAUUUCAACAUGGACUGACAGUUGGAUUCUGAACACGACCACGCUGAAGCCCAUGGGCCGCAUUGGCACUGCGCUGCUCACAAGAGUUUCAGAACUCAUUGAUGAUUAUACGGGGAACUGGAAUGAACAAACUGUUUGGCAGAAUUUCUUGCACCCAGAUGCGGUAGCCAUUCUAAAUAUACCACUGAAUCCGGCGGGUGGCGAAGAUACUUUGGCUUGGGCUUUGGAGAAGUCGGGCAUCUACACUAUAAAAUCAGUGUAUCGCUCUCUUGUGACUCGUAACGAGCUUAGCUCUCUAGAGGAAGGGGCGAUUACAGAAACGUCAUCAGCUAACAAACAGUUGUGGACUGCUUUAUGGAGGCUAAAAGUCGUCCCCAAAGUCCAAGUUUUUUGGUGGAGAGUACUCCGCGGGAUAUCGUCACAUAAAGUAAAUGGGUUUGUGUGA
RNAcentral lists this ribosomal RNA (774 nucleotides) under Triticum aestivum (bread wheat). RNAcentral's name for it is "partial small subunit ribosomal RNA". The record is from RNAcentral. Lineage: Eukaryota; Viridiplantae; Streptophyta; Magnoliopsida; Poales; Poaceae.